This 76-nucleotide transfer RNA is filed under the name Barbilophozia lycopodioides. RNAcentral's name for it is "partial tRNA-Leu". It matches the Rfam family "tRNA", at positions 10 to 71 of the family's 71-position model. From Rfam's summary of the family: Transfer RNA (tRNA) molecules are approximately 80 nucleotides in length. Their secondary structure includes four short double-helical elements and three loops (D, anti-codon, and T loops). Further hydrogen bonds mediate the characteristic L-shaped molecular structure. tRNAs have two regions of fundamental functional importance: the anti-codon, which is responsible for specific mRNA codon recognition, and the 3' end, to which the tRNAs corresponding amino acid is attached (by aminoacyl-tRNA synthetases). tRNAs cope with the degeneracy of the genetic code in two manners: having more than one tRNA (with a specific anti-codon) for a particular amino acid; and 'wobble' base-pairing, i.e. permitting non-standard base-pairing at the 3rd anti-codon position. The record is from RNAcentral. Lineage: Eukaryota; Viridiplantae; Streptophyta; Jungermanniopsida; Jungermanniales; Anastrophyllaceae.
UCGAAAUCGGUAGACGCUACGGACUUAAAAUCCGUUGGCUUUUUAGACCGUGAGGGGUCAAGUCCCUCUACCCCCA